GAUGAACGCUGGCGGCGUGCCUAAUACAUGCAAGUCGAGCGAACAGACGAGGAGCUUGCUCCUCUGACGUUAGCGGCGGACGGGUGAGUAACACGUGGAUAACCUACCUAUAAGACUGGGAUAACUUCGGGAAACCGGAGCUAAUACCGGAUAAUAUAUUGAACCGCAUGGUUCAAUAGUGAAAGACAGUUUUGCUGUCACUUAUAGAUGGAUCCGCGCCGCAUUAGCUAGUUGGUAAGGUAACGGCUUACCAAGGCAACGAUGCGUAGCCGACCUGAGAGGGUGAUCGGCCACACUGGAACUGAGACACGGUCCAGACUCCUACGGGAGGCAGCAGUAGGGAAUCUUCCGCAAUGGGCGAAAGCCUGACGGAGCAACGCCGCGUGAGUGAUGAAGGUCUUCGGAUCGUAAAACUCUGUUAUUAGGGAAGAACAAAUGUGUAAGUAACUAUGCACGUCUUGACGGUACCUAAUCAGAAAGCCACGGCUAACUACGU
This 496-nucleotide ribosomal RNA is filed under the name uncultured bacterium. Its description in RNAcentral is "partial 16S ribosomal RNA". It matches the Rfam family "Bacterial small subunit ribosomal RNA", at positions 28 to 506 of the family's 1533-position model. The record is from RNAcentral.